Tetranychus urticae (two-spotted spider mite) is the source of this 1797-nucleotide non-coding RNA. The record is from RefSeq and is a predicted model, not a curated record. Lineage: Eukaryota; Metazoa; Arthropoda; Arachnida; Trombidiformes; Tetranychidae.
AUAUCAAUAAACACUGAUCAACACAAUUGAUUGACCACAAUCAGAAGCAGGCUGAGCCCAUAACCUGUUAAAUAGUGUUUAAAUGAACUUUAUUGAUCAAGGAAUCAAUACAAACUAAAACUAAUUUUAGUAAAAUCUUAAUAGUAAAACUAAGGAUUUGAAUGGACCCAACAAUCAAUUGUAACUUGUAAAUGGUAACAAUGAAAAAUCUAAUUGUUAACAAACUAAGACAUAUUGUUAUGUUUAACAGGUUCCAACAAGAUGGUGCAACUGCUCAUUGCACCGAUCUUACUCUUUCUCUUCUAAGUUGUUAUUUUGAUGACCGAGUAAUAAGUCGAAGAAGCGAUUUUGAAUGGCCCGCUCAUUCUCCUGAUCUCAAUCCUCUUGACUAUUUUUUAUGGGGUUAUAUUGAGGACCUAGUUAGACGUGAUAAGCCUUACAGUUUAGAUCAAUUGAAAUCAACAAUAAAACAAAAAAUAGAAUGUGUAGAAAAAGAAGUCCUCGAUCGAGCGGUCAAUAAUUUAAAUGUCAGGCUUGAUUCUUGCUUAGCCCACAAUGGCUCACAUUUUGCCUUCUCUCUCUAACAAAACUCAAUUUCAGUUGAAUAAAAAUGAAUGAUUAAUUCAAUAAAGGAUAAAUUAUCAAAGCUUGUGUUUUGUGUUCAAUUCGGUGAUCUGGUUCCAUUCCAAUUAGUGAAUUGUUUAGUUUAAGUGAAAUAGUGAAUGUAAACAAACAAAAGGAUAAACAACAACAACAACAAGGAAAGCGUGGACGUUACUAUGGAUGGACAGUAACAACAACAUUUUAAUCAUUAGAUGCUGGCGGAUUUUAGAGCAACACCCUUUAUUUAACUUUUUUAGUUCGCUUAGCAAUUAAAUGGCUCCAUCCAACACACACUGUAAGAAAAUUUUUAUUUAAUCAAAAAAAGUGUUCACUUGCUCAAUCCUUAUUCAAUUGCCUUAAGAUGACUUCAACAUGACUUGAAAUCAGUAAAAAUAUUCAAAUGCUGCGCCUCAACAAUCAGAUGAUUGUGGCCUUACCUUAUUGUGAUCUUACCUUUGUAGCAGUUCAUUAAAUCGUCCAGGUUAUUAACACAAUCAAAAAUGGCGAGUAAACAAUCAUCGGGAAGUUCAUAGAUCAACAUUUUAAAAUAAUUAUUUUUAACUUAAAUUUUCCUUGACUCUAUUGCUUGAAGUGAAAAGGGUUUUAAGACUUAAAAAGUUAUUAUUUUCAUAACAAGGGGCUGAUUCGACCAUAACUGAUGGCAAUCCAGUCUGAAAAAAACAAAUCCGUAACGAAACAGGAAUCGUCUAAAUGAGAAAUGAAAAGAUAAAAGCUUAAGAUUAAAGUUAUUGCUUUCGUUUUGCGCCCGAAGGGCUUGAAAUGCUCAAGAUUCUUAUUGGUAAUUCACUCCAUUUAGCUUAUCAACGCUAAGUUAACGAACACUCAGCUGUACUCAAACCCAAAGCUUAUCAUACGCUGUAGAAUAUUCAUUAUUGAUUGAAUUAAGUCGAAUUUUUCUCCGGUAUUCAAGUAUUCAUCUUAAAGCCCAUAAUGAAUCUAAUGAUUGGUCAAAGAAUCAUUACUGUAGGGGUUACGAUUCUCGAUGUAAUGAGGAUCAAAGUUUUAAUGUCAAUGGCCAAAAUGAAGAGAACUGUCAAUAAAAUGAAAAAUUGUGCGAUCAAUCAUGUUCAGCAAAUAUUUUUAUCGACGAAAAAUGAGUUUCAACUAUUACUGCCACUCGAAGCUCCAGGUAAUUUCACGAAAUAAGCACAUUUUCUGGUUGACCAUGAGAAG